UACGUAGGGGGCGAGCGUUGUCCGGAUUUAUUGGGCGUAAAGAGCGUGUAGGCGGCCAGGUAGGUCUGCUGUGAAAACUCGAGGCUCAACCUCGAGACGUCGGCGGAAACCAUCUGGCUAGAGUCCGGAAGAGGAGAGUGGAAUUCCUGGUGUAGCGGUGAAAUGCGCAGAUAUCAGGAAGAACGCCCGUGGCGAAGGCGGCUCUCUGGGACGGUACUGACGCUGAGACGCGAAAGCGUGGGGAGCGAACAGG
Molecule: ribosomal RNA, 253 nt
Filed under: uncultured bacterium
Lineage: Bacteria
Description: partial 16S ribosomal RNA
Rfam family: Bacterial small subunit ribosomal RNA
Source: RNAcentral